CGGACGGGGUGAGUAACGCGUGGAAAACCUGCCGUAUACUGGGGAGUAAACCUAACUUAGAAAUAGGUGCUAAUACCGCAUAAGCGCACAGCUUCGCAUGAAGCGGUGUGAAAAACUCUGGUGGUAUACGAUGGUUCCGCGUCUGAUUAGCUAGUUGGUGGGGUAAUGGCCUACCAAGGCAACGAUCAGUAGCCGGCCUGAGAGGGUGAACGGCCACAUUGGGACUGAGACACGGCCCAAACUCCUACGGGAGGCAGCAG
This 260-nucleotide ribosomal RNA is filed under the name uncultured bacterium. Its description in RNAcentral is "partial 16S ribosomal RNA". It matches the Rfam family "Bacterial small subunit ribosomal RNA", at positions 99 to 354 of the family's 1533-position model. The record is from RNAcentral.